RNAcentral lists this ribosomal RNA (465 nucleotides) under uncultured bacterium. RNAcentral's name for it is "partial 16S ribosomal RNA". It matches the Rfam family "Bacterial small subunit ribosomal RNA", at positions 28 to 507 of the family's 1533-position model. The record is from RNAcentral.
GACGAACGCUGGCGGCGUGCUUAACACAUGCAAGUCGUACGGUAAGGCCCUUUCGGGGGUACACGAGUGGCGAACGGGUGAGUAACACGUGAGUAACCUGCCCACAACUUUGGGAUAACGCUAGGAAACUGGUGCUAAUACUGGAUAUGUGCUCCUUCUGCAUGGUGGGGGUUGGAAAGCUCCGGCGGUUGUGGAUGGACUCGCGGCCUAUCAGCUUGUUGGUGGGGUAGUGGCCUACCAAGGCGGCGACGGGUAGCCGGCCUGAGAGGGUGACCGGCCACAUUGGGACUGAGAUACGGCCCAGACUCCGACGGGAGGCAGCAGUGGGGAAUAUUGCACAAUGGGCGCAAGCCGGAUGCAGCAACGCCGCGGGCGGGAUGACGGCCUUCGGGUUGUAAACCGCUUUCAGCAGGGACGAAGCUUUUUGUGACGGUACCUGCAGAAGAAGCACCGGCUAACUACGUG